This 173-nucleotide ribosomal RNA is filed under the name Ophiocordyceps nutans. RNAcentral's name for it is "5.8S ribosomal RNA". The stretch from base 13 to 167 matches the Rfam family "5.8S ribosomal RNA". From Rfam's summary of the family: 5.8S ribosomal RNA (5.8S rRNA) is a component of the large subunit of the eukaryotic ribosome. It is transcribed by RNA polymerase I as part of the 45S precursor that also contains 18S and 28S rRNA. Lineage: Eukaryota; Fungi; Ascomycota; Sordariomycetes; Hypocreales; Ophiocordycipitaceae. The record is from RNAcentral.
UAAAAAUAUAAAAACUUUUAGCAACGGAUCUCUUGGCUCUAGCAUCGAUGAAGAACGCAGCGAAAUGCGAUAAGUAAUGCGAAUUGCAGAAUCUAGUGAGUCAUCGAAUCUUUGAACGCAUAUUGCGCCUACUAGCUAUUCUAGUAGGCAUGCCUAUUUGAGCGUCAUUAUAA